RNAcentral lists this ribosomal RNA (254 nucleotides) under uncultured bacterium. Its description in RNAcentral is "partial 16S ribosomal RNA". It matches the Rfam family "Bacterial small subunit ribosomal RNA", at positions 524 to 776 of the family's 1533-position model. The record is from RNAcentral.
CACGUAGGGUGCAAGCGUUGUCCGGAAUCAUUGGGCGUAAAGAGCUCGUAGGCGGCUUAGUAAGUCGGGUGUGAAAACUCUAGGCUCAACCUAGAGACGCCACCCGAUACUGCUAUAGCUAGAAUCCAGUAGGGGAGUGUGGAAUUCCCAGUGUAGCGGUGAAAUGCGCAGAUAUUGGGAGGAACACCAGCGGCGAAGGCGGCACUCUGGGCUGGUAUUGACGCUGAGGAGCGAAAGCGUGGGUAGCGAACCGG